CCGAGUUUACAACUCCCAAACCAUUGUGAAUUUACCUAUUGUUGCUUCGGCGGGAUCGCCCCGGGCUCUGCUCCGGAAUCAGGCGCCCGCCGGAGGACCGAAACUCUUGUAUUAGUAUGUUUCUCUGAGUGGAUUAUACAAAUAAUCA
Molecule: unclassified non-coding RNA, 148 nt
Filed under: uncultured Bionectriaceae
Lineage: Eukaryota; Fungi; Ascomycota; Sordariomycetes; Hypocreales
Description: sequence contains ITS1
Source: RNAcentral